Long non-coding RNA from Alexandromys fortis (reed vole), 1550 nucleotides. RefSeq lists it as uncharacterized. The transcript has 4 exons. The record is from RefSeq and is a predicted model, not a curated record. NCBI's taxonomy places the organism in Eukaryota, Metazoa, Chordata, Mammalia, Rodentia, Cricetidae.
UGAGGUCAGACUCUGCUCUGCUCCCGGAGAGAAGCCAUGCUCAGCUCUCCCGGGUAGACGCGAUAGCUCUGCUCUCUGAGGCACACGCGAUGAAGAUAGAUGUAGGCUAGAAUCUUCCCGGGGCACACUACAACACUGUUUUACACGAUGCUGGAAGACUGAACCCAGUCCCUCGCAAGCACUCCACCAGCUAAACCAUUCCCAGGCCUAGGACUCGAACUUCUCAAGUCAGCUCUACCCAGUCAAGACAAGAGGUCGGAAAGAGAGGCCAGAAGAGGGUGUCGAAGCUUCUGGAGUUAUAGAUGGUUAUGAGCUAUCUGAUGUGGAUACUGGAAUGUAAACCCGGGUCCUCUGCAAGAGCAGCAAGCGUUCUUAACCACUGAGCCAUCUCUCCAGCCUCCCACUUCAUUUUGGAAUAGGGUCUCUCGCUGAACCUGGAGCUCUCCAUUUUGACUAGAUUGGCUGGCUCGUGAGCAUUCUUCCCACUGAACCGUCUCCCUUGCCCCACAGUUUCUUGGCCGUGACUAAACGCUCUGAACUUACAUGGUCAUGGUAGCUGCAAAACUGCGAAUUUACUGAAGGAGGAAGCAGAUAGAUCUCUGAAGUCAAGGCCAGCCUGGUCUACAAAGCAAGUUCCAGGACAGCCAGGACUGUUACACAGAGAAACCCUGUCUUGAAAAACCAAAAUGGAUAAAUAAAAGCUUGAAGAGCCUGCAUUAGAGUUUGUGGCCUGCUCUGCCCCUCCUCACCCCUUCUCCAUGACUCAGCCAUGGGAGGAGAUUCAGGGCAGCAUCGUAGGGAGCCUGGAAGCUAAACCGUGCUCCUCCCACAAAGACACGAAGGAAAUGAGGCCGGAGUCCUGUGUUGGAAACCCAGUUUUUAUAGGCUGCAGGUCAGUCAUCCAAGGUGUCAACACCUCUUCCUGGAACCAAGCAAACUGGAGGAAAGAAAUGACCUCUAAGCAAAUGACGGCUUAUAAUGGCAGUAUCUCACGGUGACAAGAGGAACAUGACAGAAAUACGCUGGGAGCACAAUGGUCCUUGCAAUCACAGAUGGCACUAGGGAAGCCGGGGACUUUAAACACUGAGCGUUGUCUUUUCAAGGGAAGAGUUAUCUGUCUUCUGCCCAGAAGCCUGGGACUGGAGGUAGCUAACAACCAAAGUGAUCUUCGCACUAUCUGCAGGGCCAGGCCAUACCUGUCCCCACCAUCCCCAUUUCCCAACCCCCCACCCCACCCCCACGCUCCCACAACCAGGACUGGAUGGAAGUGGCUAAAAGUCCAGAUAACCUCUGAGCUAGCUGCAGGACAGAGACCACACCAGAUCCUCCUGCUUAAGAUAACACGCGUUUUCCUAGCCUAUCAUUAGAACCCAUCUUUGUGGAAGAGGUGGCGCCCUUUGAGAAGAGUUCCAAUGUAAUUGCGCCUCCUUGUGCCCAGGGGAUUGUGUUACACCAGGAAACUGUUUUCCAAAUUGUGCUGUACUUAAAUAUGCCUACAAUAAACCGCCUGGAGUCAGACUCUGGGAGUUUGAUCCAGCCCCAGCUACUGA